CUGGCCAGGCGUAGGGGAGGAGGAGAGGGGCACAGGGCCGCUUAGACACCCAGACAAACUUCCUGGAAGGAUUCUGAUUUCAGAGCAAGUGCGAAGGCCUAAGACAGCUUACCAAGGAAAGGAAUUCUCUCCCUGUUCCAUGUCCUGCUCAACCAUAUCUCUCACGAAGCCACUCCUGCUGCCAUUCCAGAUUUUAGUUCCUUCUCCGAUGAAGCUCUUCUUGGCACUCACCGUCAGUACCAAUCGUACAAAAUUGCUUUUCAGCACUUUUGGACUCAACCUUCCCAGACUUUAUCUUUGAAUUCCUCAAGUCCUUCAUGCUGUGCAACAGUAUUGGGACCUAAAAUUUUGCCUUCGAUGAACAGUUCGUUCUAGUCGACCACAAGAGAUAACACAGUCACUUGUUUCACCCUCCACUGCGUUCCACACUAAGGACGUCCCCAAGACGACUGUAUUUCUGCUGCC
Equus quagga is the source of this 465-nucleotide long non-coding RNA. RefSeq lists it as uncharacterized. The transcript has 3 exons. The record is from RefSeq and is a predicted model, not a curated record. Lineage: Eukaryota; Metazoa; Chordata; Mammalia; Perissodactyla; Equidae.